This 388-nucleotide ribosomal RNA is filed under the name uncultured eukaryote. Its description in RNAcentral is "partial 18S ribosomal RNA". It matches the Rfam family "Eukaryotic small subunit ribosomal RNA", at positions 592 to 976 of the family's 1831-position model. The record is from RNAcentral.
UGUAAGCGUAUACCAAAGUUGUUGCAGUUAAAAAGCUCGUAGUUGGAUUUCUGAUCGAGACAUCAGGUCGGGUCCGAGAGGAUCAUGUACUUUGAUUUUGUUUUGAUCAUCCUUGGGGAGAGCAUUUCUGGCAUUCAGUUGUCGGGAUUGGGAUCCUCAUCGUUUACUGUGAAAAAAUUAGAGUGUUCAAAGCAGGCCUCGGCCUCUGAAUACAUUAGCAUGGAAUAAUAAGAUAGGACUUUGGUGGUCUAUUUUGUUGGUUUGCACGCCAAAGUAAUGAUUAAUAGGGAUAGUUGGGGGUAUUCGUAUUCAAUUGUCAGAGGUGAAAUUCUUGGAUUUAUGGAAGACGAACUACUGCGAAAGCAUUUACCAAGGAUGUUUUCAUUAA